Non-coding RNA from Kosmotoga pacifica, 137 nucleotides. The record is from Rfam. NCBI's taxonomy places the organism in Bacteria, Thermotogati, Thermotogota, Thermotogae, Kosmotogales, Kosmotogaceae.
CAGUGGGGAGUAAACCCACCAAGGCAAAAGCCAGAACCUUGUAGCUUGGUCAGCAAGGGAGAAGGAAACUGAACUCUUGAAGACUGACGACAAAGCCAUCAUAUGGAUGGUGAACGAGUAUCUGGACCGUAACGAAA